This 84-nucleotide signal recognition particle RNA is filed under the name Anaerolineae bacterium. RNAcentral describes it as "partial signal recognition particle sRNA small type". It matches the Rfam family "Bacterial small signal recognition particle RNA", at positions 16 to 97 of the family's 97-position model. Rfam says of the family: The signal recognition particle (SRP) is a universally conserved ribonucleoprotein involved in the co-translational targeting of proteins to membranes. The record is from RNAcentral. Lineage: Bacteria; Bacillati; Chloroflexota; Anaerolineae.
GGCAGGGCGUCCGAACCGUGUCAGGGCCGGAAGGCAGCAGCACUAAGGGCUUUACCCUGGGUGCCGCAGGAGUGCCUGGCCCGA